AAAUUUUCAAAGCUGUAGGGGUCACACGGUUAGGAGACACGCCUGUGUCUCAGGCCAUGUGGGUAUUCAAAAUAGGGACACACGGCCGUGUCCCAACCCGUGUCUGUGCCCAUGUAACUCUCUAAAUUAGACACACAGCCAAGCCACACGCCCGUGUGUUAGGCCGUGUAAAAGCCUGACUUGCAACCCUUUGAAACCUACAGGGGACACACGACUAUGUCAACUGGCCGUGUGUCAUACACAGCUGAGACAAAUACUCGUA
RNAcentral lists this long non-coding RNA (262 nucleotides) under Gossypium barbadense (sea-island cotton). RNAcentral's name for it is "long non-coding RNA (GBAR_LNC014086)". Lineage: Eukaryota; Viridiplantae; Streptophyta; Magnoliopsida; Malvales; Malvaceae. The record is from RNAcentral.